UUCCGGUUUCCAUAAUGAUCGUUUGUUCCGGUACGGUAACCUGCGGAACGAUCAUU
Molecule: ribosomal RNA, 56 nt
Filed under: Solanum lycopersicum (tomato)
Lineage: Eukaryota; Viridiplantae; Streptophyta; Magnoliopsida; Solanales; Solanaceae
Description: partial 18S ribosomal RNA
Source: RNAcentral